CGCCCAUCUGCUUUGACCACAGAAGAGCCAGUACGGGGAGAAGAGUAAAGACCGGAGACAGAAGCCCUGACGCAGGUUUUCAGUAUGCAAGUGUUUUUGACUCCACAGCCAGUUGCUUAAAAUGAAACAUAAAGGGCAGCCAGAGUACACACCCAAAUGCAAAAAGGUAAAGAAGGGAGAACAACUUCUCAAAACCAACUGGGCAGUAUGGUGGGGGUGGGGAGCAGUCCUACAGAAGGGGGCCUAGAACUUCCCCCUGGGAACAAAGAACAAACACAAUACAAAGAAAAUAACCACCAAUGCUCUUGCAUGGGUCAGGAGUCUCCAGAGAACAGAUUGUCCCAUCCUCAAACUGGCUUUUUUUUUUUUUUUGCCUUUUUUUUGUCUUUUUUUUUUUCCAUUUUCUUCUUUUGUUGUUGUUGUUUUAGCACCUGUACAAUAAAACUGUACCAUCUCCAACCAGAGCCGGCCACAGCGAGGCCCUCCUGCCUUUGGAUGGUACAUACUCUCUACAAGGAUUGUUUGGAAAAAAUAGCAAUUGGUAGAAAAAUAAGAACAACGGUAGGAAAGACAAUGCCACAGAUGGGGCAGGGGCAGGAAACGGCCCAAGCUCCUCCCUCUCUCCCUCUUUCUCCCAGAACAGACCCAGUGCUGGAGGCCAGGAGGGAGGCCUGGCAGGGCCACACAAUCAGCCCCAGGUCCCUUAGUGGGAGUGGAGCCCAGCUGCAGCCCGGCCUUCUGCCCUCGUCUAGGAAACAGCUGGGGCCUGGAGCUCACAUCUGGCAAUCCAUCCCAGAGCCCUCUGCAGAUUCCGAAGGAGAAUGGGGGGCAGAGGGAGAAGCAGGGAGGAGAGAGGAAGGGGGUGCUGAGUCUGGCAAGGGGGAGAGGUGAGGGUCAAGGGCUGGGAGCUGAGGGGCUCAGCAUCCAGAAAGGGUGAAGGCAGGAGAGGGUGGGUGGCUGGAGGAGGGGGUGGAGAUGCGGAAACAAGCCCAUAUUGCGCACUCUGCGCUCUGAGGGAAGCAGUGAAGGAAGUGUGAGGAGGGGGCGACCUUAGUCUGCAGGCCCACUCUGGACUCUCCCCAAACAGUCACCCAUU
Molecule: long non-coding RNA, 1096 nt
Filed under: Ursus maritimus (polar bear)
Lineage: Eukaryota; Metazoa; Chordata; Mammalia; Carnivora; Ursidae
Description: lncRNA (ENSUMAG00000011798.1)
Source: RNAcentral